This 492-nucleotide ribosomal RNA is filed under the name uncultured bacterium. RNAcentral describes it as "partial 16S ribosomal RNA". It matches the Rfam family "Bacterial small subunit ribosomal RNA", at positions 30 to 507 of the family's 1533-position model. The record is from RNAcentral.
AUUGAACGCUGGCGGCAUGCUUUACACAUGCAAGUCGAGCGGUAACAGGCCUUCGGGUGCUGACGAGUGGCGAACGGGUGAGUAAUGCAUCGGAACGUACCCAGAGGUGGGGGAUAACGCAGCGAAAGCUGUGCUAAUACCGCAUGUGAUCUGAGGAUGAAAGCGGGGGACCGAGCAGCAAUGUUUGGCCUCGCGCCUUUGGAGCGGCCGAUGUCGGAUUAGAUAGUUGGUGGGGUAAAGGCCUACCAAGGCGACGAUCCGUAGCUGGUCUGAGAGGACGACCAGCCACACUGGGACUGAGACACGGCCCAGACUCCUACGGGAGGCAGCAGUGGGGAAUUUUGGACAAUGUGCGCAAGCCUGAUCCAGCAAUGCCGCGUGCGGGAAGAAGGCCUUCGGGUUGUAAACCGCUUUUGGCAGGAACGAAACGGUGUCCGCUAAUACCGGGCGCUAAUGACGGUACCUGCAGAAUAAGCACCGGCUAACUACGUG